UGGCAGUGUGGUUAGCUGGU
RNAcentral lists this non-coding RNA (20 nucleotides) under Tribolium castaneum (red flour beetle). Its record names the gene tca-miR-34-5p. RNAcentral also lists the same sequence under 11 other names. Lineage: Eukaryota; Metazoa; Arthropoda; Insecta; Coleoptera; Tenebrionidae. The record is from miRBase by way of RNAcentral.